Molecule: long non-coding RNA, 1553 nt
Organism: Chinchilla lanigera (long-tailed chinchilla)
Lineage: Eukaryota; Metazoa; Chordata; Mammalia; Rodentia; Chinchillidae
Exons: 4
Source: RefSeq, a predicted model, not a curated record
UUUUUAACCUUGGAUUUUCAGUGCCAUGAAAAUCUUUAGGAGAUGCAGAGUGAUUUUACAUUUAUUUAGUGGAAUCGUCCAGUAAACUAAAAGUGAAUGAGUAAAUCUUUAUUCAGGCCAAGAAAAUCCUCCAGGAUACCAGCAGUACAAUACUAUGGAGCCAAGGGCCCUGGAGGUUCUGACCUAUGGGAGAAUUGAAGUUGGCCGUCAGCCAGGGAGGGUGACAUGACUUCCAUUCAGGAACACGGAGAAGGCCACCCUGCCCGGCAACGGACAUCAGCUGACUGAUCAGAAUGCCCAGCUGCAGGUGCAGAGUUCACUUUUGGAGUUAGUUCACUUUUAGGAGAUGCAGGUUGGCAUAAGACUGGUGUGCACCUGGAGAUGUCUGGGGUCACAGAUGGGGGAGCACUCACCCACACCUGACACACACUGAGCGCCUGUUACUGGGCGAGGCAGUGGGGCCGGUCGCUGCCUACCAACCGCACAGAAAGUCACGGAGGUGCCAAGCUGCUCCGCACUGACCUGCUUUCAGAUGAGGGUUCUGGUGAGGACUAGUCCUGUACCCCAGCCCUGGCCUGACCCAGUGGCCUGGCUUCCAGAGGAUGGGUGUUCAGCCUGCCCGUGGCACCGGCCUCUCAUGAGCUGCUGGGCAGCUGCAGCUUCCUUACCAGUGGUACCUCUCCUUGGUGCUGGGGGACCAACCCGGCCAGACCUCAUUCCUGCAGCAGUCCUGUCAUCUCUCAUCCCACCCACCGGCCCCCCAAGGCUCAGCAAGUGAAUGCAGGGGAGAAGAGAAAGAGCCCCAAAGGGAGCAAACUCCAGAAAAUUUGCCAAAUGCACAGCAAGACGUGGCGUGUGUCUGGCAGACCCUGCUGGAUAUACGACACCCGCGGACUCUGAGUGCAGCAGGACUGUGCUGGCACCAGGAAAGUUGUGCCUUUUUGUCCAGGCUUUUCUGUACCUGCUUCUGCUUCUCUGGCUGUAUUCGUGAUAACCAGGAAAUUCAAGAAAAGAAAACAAUCGAAGAGUCCAUCCGUGACGAAUGGACAAAGAACAUGUGGUACAUUUACAACAUGGAAUACUAUUCAGCCAUAAAGAGGAUGAAAUCCUGCCGCUUGCAGCAAUGUAGGUGGAGUGAAGAUGGUUAUGCGAAAUGAAACAAACCAGGCUCAGAAAGACAGGUUCUGCCUGAUCUCACUCAUACGCAGAAGAUGAAAAGUUGAUUGCACAGAAGCGAAGAGCAGCCUGGUAGUGACCAGAGAGGCUGGGGAGAACAGGGGGUGGAGGGAAGGCUAAAGGUGGGUCAGUGGCUGUGUACUGCGAGACACGAGCAGCAAGCGCUGACGCUCUGUUGCGUGGAAAGUUGCGGGACUUGGGUAACGAUAAUGCGCUAUGCAUCCCAAAAAGCUGGAAGAGAAGGUUUUGAAUGUUUACACUAUAAAUGAUAAAUGUUUGAGGCGAUAAAUAUAUUUAACAUGAUUUGAACAUGUACAGUGGACGUAUGUAUUUUAACAUCACAUGGCACCCUGUAAAUAUUUACAAUAUUUACAAUA